GACGAACGCUGGCGGCGUGCUUAACACAUGCAAGUCGAACGGAGCGAAUGAAAGCUUGCUUUUAUGAGCUUAGUGGCAAACGGGUGAGUAACACGUAGACAACCUGCCGACAGGAUGGGGGCAACAUUCCGAAAGGAAUGCUAAUACCGAAUGAAGCGGAGGAGAGGCAUCUCUCCUCCGUGAAAGAUGGCCUCUAUUUAUAAGCUAUCACCUGUCGAUGGGUCUGCGUCUGAUUAGCUGGUUGGUGAGGUAACGGCUCACCAAGGCGACGAUCAGUAGCCGGUCUGAGAGGAUGAACGGCCACAUUGGGACUGAGACACGGCCCAGACUCCUACGGGAGGCAGCAGUGGGGAAUCUUCCGCAAUGGGCGCAAGCCUGACGGAGCAACGCCGCGUGAGUGAAGAAGGUCUUCGGAUCGUAAAGCUCUGUUGACGGGGACGAACGUGCGAAGGGUGAAUAAUCCUUGUAG
This 469-nucleotide ribosomal RNA is filed under the name Centipeda infelix. Its description in RNAcentral is "bacterial SSU rRNA". It matches the Rfam family "Bacterial small subunit ribosomal RNA", at positions 28 to 471 of the family's 1533-position model. The record is from RNAcentral. Lineage: Bacteria; Bacillati; Bacillota; Negativicutes; Selenomonadales; Selenomonadaceae.